This is a long non-coding RNA of Bombus pyrosoma, 962 nucleotides long. RefSeq lists it as uncharacterized. The transcript is spliced from 3 exons. NCBI's taxonomy places the organism in Eukaryota, Metazoa, Arthropoda, Insecta, Hymenoptera, Apidae. The record is from RefSeq and is a predicted model, not a curated record.
UCGAUCCUCGCCAACCAGUCGGUCGUUUCGCGUCUCUUGGUGACUGUUUCAGAGCCACGGUGAAAUAUGGCAUUAACGUUCUGCUCCAUUGAGGAUCGCGUACUGUUUUUCCACCCUCUGUUCUCUUUUUUCUUCCAUUUCUUGUUCUCCCUCGAACUGCCACACUCGGUCCAGCGUUGAGAGAUCAAUUUUUCUCGUGUAACCGGUGUAACCGGUGGCGAACCACCGCUGUGCCGGACGUUUCGGUGUUAUUGGUCAAAAAGUGCCGGUGUAACGCGACCGUAACAACAGGCAAACCCAACUAAUAUCGUUUCGAAACCUCAUGGAAGGAGCUGCCGCACGACUGUCUUCUUUUCUCCUUUACCUCUUCAGUCCGUUUGUUGAACGUAUUGUCGCGGGCGGGCGGAAACCAUCGUCUCCACACAUAGAACGCUGUUAUAUUUUCACGAUGACAAGUUUUAGAAUAGAGCGAAAUGUUGAACACUAUAUCUAUGCACGACAAAACAUGCGGAAUUUGUUUAUGUUGAAAACAUCCGAACUCUUGACGUAUCAGUAAAUUUACAACAUGCAAACCAGUAUAGGAAAUUCAAACAUUGACGUGAAAGUGGAAAAUAUCCGAGGACUUGCGAUAUUGAUUACUGCGGAGGAUCAAUAGCCAUUAUGAUGCGGUGGUUGAUGGUCGUUGACAGUGAGUCAUAAGGGAUUUACGAGGCGGUAUAAACUACAGAACUUCUGUGCCUCGUAUCACGAAAAGCUAGGAGAGGAAGAGGGAUAAAGUUCGCGACUGUUGGAUUGUAAUCUUUGCCCAUAAACGGCACUUUAUCACCAACUGCCUAUGAUAUCUUCUAACUUUUUGGACUAUUUCCUUCGUUUGCUAAUAAUUUCUUAAAAAUUUAUCAAGGAAUUUUUUAAUAUAAUUAGCAAUUAACUAUGAAGUAAACAUUCGCGCCUUUAUAAAAUGA